RNAcentral lists this transfer RNA (74 nucleotides) under Cordylochernes scorpioides. RNAcentral describes it as "tRNA-Thr". Lineage: Eukaryota; Metazoa; Arthropoda; Arachnida; Pseudoscorpiones; Chernetidae. The record is from RNAcentral.
UUUCAAGGGAUGGGAAUCGAACCCACGACCUUCCGCUUACCGGGCAGAUGCCAUGACCACUAGGCUACCGUGGA